Molecule: long non-coding RNA, 1362 nt
Organism: Alosa alosa (allis shad)
Lineage: Eukaryota; Metazoa; Chordata; Actinopteri; Clupeiformes; Clupeidae
Exons: 6
Source: RefSeq, a predicted model, not a curated record
GCUGAUGGACAGAGAGAGGCAGCGGCGUCACAGAGAGAGGGUCCGUGCUGACCCUGAGAAACAGCAGGCCUACCGGGAGAGGGAAAGACAAAGGUACCAACGUAGGAAGAAUAUGGUCAUUGCUCUUCCAGAGCAAAUGACAGCAGAAUCCCAGAGCCAUGGCUUGAGUGACACAGAAUAUCAAACUGGGCCAACCGUUAAGGAUCACUCUCAUCCAAAUAACUACGCCUUCCAAGACAUGUCACAGAAUUCAGACACGGAAACAGGCAACAUGGCACAAACGGAUAACAUGGUGACGAAAAGGCCAACUCCUGAGGCUGAUAUUGUUGACACCAGACAGCAGAUAAAAGAGAUGAAUCCAGUCAGCCGUCUGUUGCGUGUUACAGAAAAAGAGACUCAGGAACACAUAUUCUCCACCCAACACAGAGCUGGUGUGUUUGGGUCACAGGAUGUCAACUAUUAUUUUGUACAACAAAAUGGGGACCUGUGCUCACUUUCAAGGUUUAAAAAGAGAUUGAUGGACCGAGAGAGACAGCAGCUACAGAGAACGGAUCCGCUCCAACCCUGUGAAGCAGUCUGAUGAUGAAAAGGAAAGACGAAGGUUCAUGGACAGAGAGAGGCAGCGACGACGGAGGGAGAGGAUGCGUGCUGAGCCUGACCAGCAGCAGUCCUGCGCAGAGAGGGACAGACAAAGGUUGUUGGAUAGAGAAAGGCAACGACGCUGCAGACAGAGGCUUCAAGCGGACCCUGUGAGGUGGCAAGCUUACCUGGAGAAGGAGCGGUGCAGGUCCAGGGAGGCAGCCAGGAGAAGCCGGGCUAAGAAGUCUCUGGCCAAGGCCCUGACAGGCUGGAUAUCAGAUUGGGGGCAAGGAAGGCAGUAAGGACACCUAGUAGUAGACGUUCCCUUCAAAAUGGUCACUCAUGGUAGGGGGUUUGUGGUGAAGGGAGAAAGGAGACACCUCACCAGGCGGGGCAGGUCAACUGGCCCCUGACACCAGAGCAGAACUUCUUGGUGGGACAGUCAUAGCACAUAAGGACUUCAUCACAGAGUUUCUUAGCAGUACCAUGACGUAAAAAGCCCUGCCCUACUCAGGAGUUUAUGCCUUUUUCAUCUUUUUUAUUCAGAUUUCUUGUCAUUGCUUUGGUAUGGGCUGUAGUUUAGAAACAUUCUUCAGAAGUGCUGAAGUAUUAUUUAUUGCAUAAUUAGUUUUGUUAUAUAUUAGGUGUCAAUGGAAUUUGACUGUGAUGUGCUCAUGUUGAAUUUGGUCUUUAAAUGUUUAACUUUCGAAAAAGAGUUUUUAGCAUGAAGGUGAUAACUGAAAGGUGAUAACUAAUAUUACAAAUAAAUGUAUCAUUUGAUGA